This 935-nucleotide long non-coding RNA is filed under the name Brachypodium distachyon (stiff brome). RNAcentral describes it as "long non-coding RNA (BDIS_LNC003917)". Lineage: Eukaryota; Viridiplantae; Streptophyta; Magnoliopsida; Poales; Poaceae. The record is from RNAcentral.
AGCUCGAGUCAUAAGGAUAAUGCAUAAUAUGCCUGGAAUUCUUGUAACAUCCCAAAAUUCCAAAACCUUUCGUAUGCAUUGCAUCCAUGAGCUUCAUGCCACAAUUGCAUAUUUGAAUUCAAAUUUGAAUCUCAAAAGACUUUAAAAAGGUUUUUAUUUCAUUUUAAACCCUAGGGUUUCAAUCAUUUGAGCUUUGGAUCUUAAAACCAAUAAGGUUUAUCUAUAAAUGGGGUUUAUUGCAUAAAUAAGCUAUCCCAUAAUUUUUGGAUAUUUAUUUGGAGUUGAAAAACUAUUUUAUUUAUAUAGUUAUAUAGCCCUAAAGGCAUUUAUAGGGAAAAUAUAUUUUUUAUAUAUUUUAUUUUGAAGGGAAACUACUCCCAAAAGUUGAACCAUGAUAAAACAUGAUUUUACAAAUUUUCUAGAAUUUGUUUGGAUCAAUUUGGAGUUCAAAAUCAAAAGAUAUCAAAGAAAUCAGAAAAAGAAAAAAAGAAAAGGCUAAAAGGAAAAGAAAAAAAAAGAGAAGAAACGGACCGGCCCGGCCGAAUUGGGCCGAACCGGCCUCCUCCCCCGCGUGCGCCCGAGCCAGACCGGCCCAGCGCCAGCGCAGCACGCGCCCGAGGCUGACAGGCAGGGCCCUCCUGUCAAAUCCUUCGUCCCAAAGGAAGGCGCCGCGCGUCACGCCGCCAGAUCCGCCCACGCCGUCGCGGCCGCCAUCACCGCGCCCGCCGAUUCCGUGCUUUCCAAAGUUGCCCGAGCACACCCCUAUAAAGUCCAGCCUCCCCUCUCUCUUUCGCCUCUGUUUGCCCGCACUCGCACGCGCCCACGCCGCCGGAGUUACUCGCCGAAGAACACCGCCGCCGCCAUCCUUCGCUUCGGGUCCACACCGCCAGUGAGCCUCCCCGCCCGAGACCUCAAAUUUCUGGACCCCCUCGACC